UACGUAGGUCCCGAGCGUUGUCCGGAUUUAUUGGGCGUAAAGCGAGCGCAGGUGAUUUAUUAAGUCUGGUGUAAAAGGCAGUGGCUCAACCAUUGUAUGCAUUGGAAACUGGUAGACUUGAGUGCAGGAGAGGAGAGUGGAAUUCCAUGUGUAGCGGUGAAAUGCGUAGAUAUAUGGAGGAACACCGGUGGCGAAAGCGGCUUACUGGACUGUAACUGACGUUGAGGCUCGAAAGCGUGGGGAGCGAACAGG
This 252-nucleotide ribosomal RNA is filed under the name uncultured bacterium. Its description in RNAcentral is "partial 16S ribosomal RNA". It matches the Rfam family "Bacterial small subunit ribosomal RNA", at positions 524 to 776 of the family's 1533-position model. The record is from RNAcentral.